UACGUAGGGGGCGAGCGUUGUCCGGAUUUAUUGGGCGUAAAGAGCUCGUAGGCGGCCUCGUAAGUCGUACGGUGAAAUUCCAGGACUCAACUCUGGAACGCCCGUCGAUACUGCGAUGGCUUGAGGUAGGUAGGGGAGUGUGGAAUUCCUGGUGUAGCGGUGAAAUGCGCAGAUAUCAGGAGGAACACCAGUGGCGAAGGCGGCACUCUGGGCCUUACCUGACGCUGAGGAGCGAAAGCUAGGGG
This 245-nucleotide ribosomal RNA is filed under the name uncultured bacterium. Its description in RNAcentral is "partial 16S ribosomal RNA". It matches the Rfam family "Bacterial small subunit ribosomal RNA", at positions 524 to 766 of the family's 1533-position model. The record is from RNAcentral.